This 253-nucleotide ribosomal RNA is filed under the name uncultured bacterium. Its description in RNAcentral is "partial 16S ribosomal RNA". It matches the Rfam family "Bacterial small subunit ribosomal RNA", at positions 524 to 776 of the family's 1533-position model. The record is from RNAcentral.
GACGUAGGGUGCAAGCGUUGUCCGGAUUUAUUGGGCGUAAAGAGCUCGUAGGCGGCUUGUUGCGUCGACUGUGAAAACCCGCGGCUUAACCGCGGGCUUGCAGUUGAUACGGGCAGGCUAGAGUUCGGUAGGGGAGACUGGAAUUCCUGGUGUAGCGGUGAAAUGCGCAGAUAUCAGGAGGAACACCGGUGGCGAAGGCGGGUCUCUGGGAGGGCACUGACGCUGAGACGCGAAAGCGUGGGGAGCAAACAGG